ACCUGUAGAGAAAUAUAUAGCAUUCGUACUUGUUAGCUACCAAAAAGAAAAAGGUAAUAAAUCUGCUAUUUCCUUUUUGUCAGGGGCCAAGGGAAAAGAGCUUCAUUAGCAUAUUUGUCACGCAGAUGUGAAAUGAGACAGAAAACUACUAGAACAAUUGGGAGAAAUCUAAAAUAUGAAGUUCCAGCACAAACUUAGAUGGCUUCUCACUAUGUGAAGGUUUGAACAGCAACUUCUGACAUGGAAAAUAAUCACAGCAAAAAGAGGCACUAACAAGUGACAGAUGUGGUUGACUCAUCUCCUUCUUCCUUGGACUCUCUAAUGAGCAAUUAAAUAGCCUGAAACAGAACAAUCAAGAGGUCUGGCAAAUCCACACACUAGAUGAUGAAGAAAUGUACAUUCAAGGAAAAUCAAACCAACUAAAGGAAGAAAAACUUUGAGUUCUGCUAUAUCUGUGGGUUCCUGCAGAUAAAAUCAACCAUAGAUAAAAAAUGUUCAGGAAAAAAAGCACCAGCAACAAUAAAAAAUAAUACAGAUGACUGCCUUUUCACUUUACUGGAUCCUCAUAUAGGAAACAGAGAGAGAGAGAGACAGAGACAGAGAGAGAGAGAAAGAGAGAGAGAGAGAGAGGGAGAAGAGGAGAG
Chlorocebus sabaeus (green monkey) is the source of this 644-nucleotide non-coding RNA. The record is from RefSeq and is a predicted model, not a curated record. Lineage: Eukaryota; Metazoa; Chordata; Mammalia; Primates; Cercopithecidae.